CAGAACAGAAACUUGUCAGUCUAAAAGUUUUUGAAUAUCUGAAAAAAUGGUAAGGACCACUAAGAGAUCAGUUUUAAUAAUUGGCUUGUUUUGUUUGGCUCUUCUAAUUUUCAUUUCAGGUACUGAAGCUAUUGAUCAAGCAGUUAAUAUAGGAAGAUGUUCUGAUUAUCCAGAUUGUAAUAAAGCUUGUAUUGAAGCAAAUUUUAAGCAUGGUGGUUGUUUGUUUUUUAAAGGAACAAAUAGUUGUUUCUGUGGACCCAUCGGCUAUCAGUAGUUAAUUAGUUGUGUCAUGAAUUAAUUGGCUUAUGUUGUUUCAUGAAUAAUUUG
Molecule: long non-coding RNA, 327 nt
Filed under: Capsicum annuum
Lineage: Eukaryota; Viridiplantae; Streptophyta; Magnoliopsida; Solanales; Solanaceae
Description: long non-coding RNA (CANN_LNC017767)
Source: RNAcentral